This 176-nucleotide small nuclear RNA is filed under the name Myotis davidii. RNAcentral describes it as "7SK RNA". It matches the Rfam family "7SK RNA", at positions 1 to 188 of the family's 331-position model. Rfam says of the family: 7SK was discovered as an abundant small nuclear RNA in the mid-70s but a possible function has only recently been suggested. Two independent studies have found that 7SK RNA binds the CDK9/cyclin T complex (known as elongation factor P-TEFb). Lineage: Eukaryota; Metazoa; Chordata; Mammalia; Chiroptera; Vespertilionidae. The record is from Rfam by way of RNAcentral.
GGAUGUGAGGGCGAUCUGGCUGCGACAUCUGUCACCCCAUUGAUCGCCAGGGUUGAUUUCGGCUGAUCUGGCUGGCUAGGCGGGUGUCCCCCUCCUCCCUCACCGAUCCAUGUGCGUCCCUCCCGAAGCUGCGUGCUCGAAGAGGACAACCUUCGGUGUUACUUCAAGUUUCUUAG